AGAGUUUGAUCCUGGCUCAAGAUGAACGCUGGCGGCGUGCUUAACACAUGCAAGUCAAACGGGGAUGCCAUUUUUGAAGCGAUUAGCUUGCUAAAAGUGGAAAUGUUGGCAUCUUAGUGGCGGACGGGUGAGUAACGCGCUGGGGAACCUGCCCUGUACAGGGGGAUAACACUUAGAAAUAGGUGCUAAUACCGCAUAAGCGCACAGUAUCGCAUGAUACAGUGUGAAAAACUCCGGUGGUACAGGAUGGACCCGCGUCUGAUUAGCUGGUUGGCGGGGUAACGGCCCACCAAGGCGACGAUCAGUAGCCGGCCUGAGAGGGUGAACGGCCACAUUGGGACUGAGACACGGCCCAGACUCCUACGGGAGGCAGCAGUCGGGAAUAUUGCGCAAUGGAGGCAACUCUGACGCAGUGACGCCGCGUAUAGGAAGAAGGUUUUCGGAUUGUAAACUAUUGUCCUCAGGGAAGAAAAAAGACUGUACCUGAGAAGAAAGCUCCGGCUAACUACGUGCCAGCAGCCGCGGUAAUACGUAGGGAGCAAGCGUUAUCCGGAAUUAUUGGGUGUAAAGGGUGCGUAGACGGGAUAACAAGUUGGUUGUGAAACCCCUCGGCUCAACUGAGGAACUGCAACCAAAACUAUUAUUCUUGAGUGCAGGAGAGGAAAGUGGAAUUCCUAGUGUAGCGGUGAAAUGCGUAGAUAUUAGGAAGAACACCGGUGGCGAAGGCGACUUUCUGGACUGUAACUGACGUUGAGGCACGAAAGUGUGGGGAGCAAACAGGAUUAGAUACCCUGGUAGUCCACACUGUAAACGAUGGAUACUAGGUGUAGGGGGUAUUAAGCCUUCUGUGCCGUCGCAAACGCAGUAAGUAUCCCACCUGGGGAGUACGACCGCAAGGUUGAAACUCAAAGGAAUUGACGGGGGCCCGCACAAGCAGUGGAGUAUGUGGUUUAAUUCGAAGCAACGCGAAGAACCUUACCAGGGCUUGACAUAUAAGUGAACGUCUAAGAGAUUAGUCAGUAUUUCGGUACACUUAUACAGGUGGUGCAUGGUUGUCGUCAGCUCGUGUCGUGGGAUGUUAGGUUAAGUCCUGCAACGAGCGCAACCCCUAUACUUAGUUGCCAGCACGUAAAGGUGGGAACUCUCAGGUAGACCGAUCGGUGAUAAAUCGGAGGAAGGUGGGGAGGACGUCAAAUCAUCAUGCCCUUUAUGUCCUGGGCUACACACGUACUACAAUGGCUAUAACAAAGAGAAGCGAGACGGAGACGUUAAGCGAAACCCAAUAAAGUAGUCUCAGUUCGGAUUGUAGUCUGCAACUCGACUACAUGAAGCUGGAAUCGCUAGUAAUCGCGGAUCAGAAUGCCGCGGUGAAUACGUUCCCGGCUCUUGCACUCACCGCCCGUCA
This 1405-nucleotide ribosomal RNA is filed under the name uncultured bacterium. Its description in RNAcentral is "bacterial SSU rRNA". It matches the Rfam family "Bacterial small subunit ribosomal RNA". The record is from RNAcentral.